GCAAAAUUCAAGGAUUGAACCUUACCGGAUAUCUUGGAUCCUCGCUGUAUAAUCUACAAAAUUUGAAGAUAUUUGAUAUCAGUUCCAACAGCAUAAUGGGUGAAAUACCAUACGAAUUACCUCCAAAUGCCACACAUAUAAACAUGGCUUGCAACUAUUUGAGCCAAAAUAUCCCUCAUUCAUUAUCAAACAUGAAAAAACUAAGAC
Long non-coding RNA from Lathyrus oleraceus (garden pea), 207 nucleotides. RefSeq lists it as uncharacterized. The record is from RefSeq and is a predicted model, not a curated record. The transcript is spliced from 3 exons. NCBI's taxonomy places the organism in Eukaryota, Viridiplantae, Streptophyta, Magnoliopsida, Fabales, Fabaceae.